RNAcentral lists this ribosomal RNA (472 nucleotides) under uncultured organism. RNAcentral's name for it is "partial 16S ribosomal RNA". It matches the Rfam family "Bacterial small subunit ribosomal RNA", at positions 329 to 797 of the family's 1533-position model. The record is from RNAcentral.
ACGUACACUCCUGCGGGAGGCAGCAGUGAGGAAUAUUGGACAAUGGGUGGAAGCCUGAUCCAGCCAUCCCGCGUGCAGGAAGACGGCCCUAUGGGUUGUAAACUGCUUUUAUCUGGGGAUAAACCUACUUACGUGUAAGUAGCUGAAGGUACCAGAAGAAUAAGCACCGGCUAACUCCGUGCUAGCAGCCGCGGUAAUACGGAGGGUGCAAGCGUUAUCCGGAUUUAUUGGGUUUAAAGGGUCCGUAGGCGGACUGAUAAGUCAGUGGUGAAAUCCGACAGCUUAACUGUCGAACUGCCAUUGAUACUGUUAGUCUGUAGUAAGGUUGAAGUGGCUGGAAUAAGUAGUGUAGCGGUGAAAUGCAUAGAUAUUACUUAGAACACCAAUUGCGAAGGCAGGUCACUAAGUCUUAACUGACGCUGAUGGACGAAAGCGUGGGGAGCGAACAGUAUUAGAAACCCGGGUAGUCCCA